RNAcentral lists this ribosomal RNA (487 nucleotides) under uncultured Rhodoferax sp. Its description in RNAcentral is "bacterial SSU rRNA". It matches the Rfam family "Bacterial small subunit ribosomal RNA", at positions 8 to 490 of the family's 1533-position model. The record is from RNAcentral. Lineage: Bacteria; Pseudomonadati; Pseudomonadota; Betaproteobacteria; Burkholderiales; Comamonadaceae.
AGAGUUUGAUCAUGGCUCAGAUUGAACGCUGGCGGCAUGCCUUACACAUGCAAGUCGAACGGCAGCACGGGAGCAAUCCUGGUGGCGAGUGGCGAACGGGUGAGUAAUAUAUCGGAACGUGCCCAGUCGUGGGGGAUAACGCAGCGAAAGCUGUGCUAAUACCGCAUACGAUCUAUGGAUGAAAGCGGGGGAUCGCAAGACCUCGCGCGAUUGGAGCGGCCGAUAUCGGAUUAGCUAGUUGGUGGGGUAAAAGCUCACCAAGGCGACGAUCUGUAGCUGGUCUGAGAGGACGACCAGCCACACUGGAACUGAGACACGGUCCAGACUCCUACGGGAGGCAGCAGUGGGGAAUUUUGGACAAUGGGCGCAAGCCUGAUCCAGCAAUGCCGCGUGCAGGAUGAAGGCCUUCGGGUUGUAAACUGCUUUUGUACGGAACGAAACGGCUCUUUCUAAUAAAGAGGGCUAAUGACGGUACCGUAAGAAUAAG